This 84-nucleotide transfer RNA is filed under the name Candidatus Pacearchaeota archaeon. RNAcentral's name for it is "tRNA-Leu". It matches the Rfam family "tRNA". From Rfam's summary of the family: Transfer RNA (tRNA) molecules are approximately 80 nucleotides in length. The record is from RNAcentral. Lineage: Archaea; Nanobdellati.
GCGGGAGUGCCGGAGUGGUCAAACGGGUGUGGCUAAGGACCACAUGGCUUAGUGCCUGCAAAGGUUCGAAUCCUUUCUCCCGCA